GGUACCGCCUCGGCGGGCUCUUGCGGCAGCGCCGCGGGCGGCGAGGAGGGCGGGGGCGGGGCCGGGGCGCGGCCACAGCUUCGGCAGGGGCGGACGGUCCAGGCCCUAGGGCGGCGCCAUGCUGGAGCUGCGGUUCACCCUGCGGACGGAGCUGGAGAGGUAGGCGGCGCAGCGGAUGAGGAGGGAGCGGCCGCGGAAGCCCCCGGAGUAGGAGAAGGCAUUCGAGGGGUGGAGGCGGAGGGGGAAGGGGAGCGGCGUGGCGCUCUAGACAAGCGGCGCGGAGGGUACGCAUAGAGAACUAGAUCCCAACGUGCCUUUACUACGGGCACGAGGUAGAGCUAGCCACCACCGGCGGCACCUGUGGGCGCCGAUACUGCUUGGGGCGGCGGUCCUCCGGCGGUACCUCCGGGCAGGGCUCGAGCGAAGCGGCGAGGAAGUCACUGGGAGCAACGCGGACCUAGGCCCGCCUAGGCUACUAAGGGGCUGCGCGUCCGCCCGGUCGUGCGCCGCGAUCCGCCUCCUCGGGAGGGUACCGUGGCCGCCGAGACCUCUACUCCGGUAAUCUUGUACAUUGAACUCAGCACCUUUAGGCUUACACCAAUAAAUAUAGUCUCAUCUACGAUGACACUGUACCCGUACGUGAAGUGAGGUCGCUUCUACAUUAGGCGUUCCGCCCCAUUUUGAACUCAGUGGAUGUUUUACUAAAAAUGGUAAACAGUCUCGUCUUCAAAAGAUCCCAACACGUACAGCUCGGACAAACCGACAAAUACUCGUCCGAUGUAAUAUCAGCUAGUUCGGGAACGUUCUAUCAUUACGUAAAAACGUAAGAUCCCAAUGUUACCGCUGAUUAUUUGUUCUGCUGGUACGUCUAGACUAUCUCUUCUCUGGGUGGGGCCACUGGAGGAUGUCGGUACCAGCUACCGUCGGGGCCGUUCCUCACCGAGUGCCAGUGUCCUCUCUUCCUAGAGGCAUGGGAUGUUUCGAGCGACCUCUGCCUAGGUAUCCUCGCGUUGGUCGUCGAGUUCAUCAAAAUGGGCACGUUGGUAGGACGAUUAAGCGACCUGGACUUCUUAUGGCUGCUCAGUUGCCUGUGUCCUGCAAGGACGUCCGAGACGACGUCCUCGAUGUAGUAGGUGAGCGUAUGACAUGUAACAAAUGACUCUGUUGUAGUUGUACCUUAUAAACAGACAGUUGAGUCACUUCGUGGUUGCCUAGUUCCUGUAACUCCAACUAUAAACAUAAGAUGAGCUUUUUCAAAAAAGUCGUUUGUGUAGCUCUGCAACCUUCUUUAACUGCACCACAUUUUCCUCGACCGAAAUGUCAGACCGCAAUUCGUGACCCCUCCUCAAGCAAGAAAUCUAAACGAAUUCUAGUACCUUCGCACCCAACUACCUCACGAACAUAAAUCAAAAACAAAACUGGAACACUUUGAACGAUGGAUACCUACUUUGACACAUUAUAACUACUUUGAUACAUAUACAUGCCUACUUUGAACGAUGAUAACCAUUGUACACAACCUAUGUAUACACAAGUACUGAUAACCAUUAUACACAACUUAUACGAUAUAACCAGUAUAUUUAU
This 1581-nucleotide ribosomal RNA is filed under the name Triticum aestivum (bread wheat). Its description in RNAcentral is "partial small subunit ribosomal RNA". The record is from RNAcentral. Lineage: Eukaryota; Viridiplantae; Streptophyta; Magnoliopsida; Poales; Poaceae.